UUGUCGUCACAGCAGCUGCAGAGGA
RNAcentral lists this unclassified non-coding RNA (25 nucleotides) under Mus musculus (house mouse). RNAcentral describes it as "oocyte_clustered_small_RNA12919". The record is from RNAcentral. Lineage: Eukaryota; Metazoa; Chordata; Mammalia; Rodentia; Muridae.